This 249-nucleotide long non-coding RNA is filed under the name Elaeis guineensis (African oil palm). Its description in RNAcentral is "long non-coding RNA (EGUI_LNC015184)". The record is from RNAcentral. Lineage: Eukaryota; Viridiplantae; Streptophyta; Magnoliopsida; Arecales; Arecaceae.
AUAUUUAAGAUAUUACACAUUAUCUUUUUUAUAUAUUUUAUUAUUUUUUAAAAAAUAAUAUUAAAUUAUUUUUUUCUUUCUGUCCUACAACUCUUACACUUUUUUAUUAUAUUAAUCCCACAAAGUAAAAUUUUUGGAUCCGCCACUCGAGCCAGCUAAACAACUAGAUAGCACAUGAAUCUAAAAGCUAGGGUGCAUUCGAUGGUGAGCUUGUUUAUGUGGAAGAUGGCUUGCGGUUGUCUGCCUACC